GCGCAGCUCUGCUGGUGCGUGCAUCUGACUACCAUAGGGUUUGAACGUAAGGCAGAUCUGUGAGCGUAGGGCUUGCUCUGGAGGAAUCCCUUAGGUAUUUCGGUGCCAUUCCCCAGUCCUAAAAGGAGUAAUCUGGGGAGACUGCUAUCGGAAACCCAGGCCUCCUCCAUCCCUGCCUCCCUUGUUGCCGAAGUUUGGGAAAACAGGAACGGGAGGUCACCACAUAGGUUCUCUUUCAUUAGACGCGUCAGGGUUUGUUAACGCUUAGGUCAGGCAGGGGGUAUCCUGCUUGCUGUGGUAGUAGAACUGUUCCUUGAGAAUUGUCCGUGUGGCAAAGCUGGGAUAAGAAGAUACCCUUCUGGGACACCUAUUAGGGGAUCUCGUUAGAGUCUAGUUGAGGAGCUGCAGGAGGCGCGCGUCCGACUUGCUUCCUUAUUUAGGCGCUAGAUGGAGAAGCGCCUUCAAGGACUUAGGCCCCCCCAUCCCCAACCCACCACCUCCUCCCCCUUUUGUUUCUCCCAGCCCCAUCUGGUUCCCAUUUCGCUGCCGCCUACGGCUGGAAGGGCUGGAGGGGGGGCGGCGGGGGCUCUGAAGCCCCGCCCAGCGGCUCGCGGCCGGGGUGAAAGGGGGUGAGGGGGCGGCGGAAAGAGAGUGGACAGGCCAGAGGCAAGGUUCCCCUUGGUCUGAAACCUCAGCCCAGCCACGCCCCGCCAUUCCGCGCUUCUGAGUGGCCCAAGGCUGCAGGGCGUGGGUGGCGCGGGCGGGAGCUGGUUCUACAUUCCGGCCCAGCGAAGGGACCUUUCUGUCUCCGGUGGGGGCAGGGGAAGAGGGGUGCGUUAUUGGGGAGGACUUCGAUGCUUCAUUCCAUUAAAAACAAAACACAGUGCGGGGGCGGGGGGGUACUAGGCACAAGGAAAGUUGCCGCUUCCAAAUCACCAUCCUACAACUGGACAGCGCAGCUAGACGCGCUCCCUCCGGGGUCGCCCCCCCCGCCCCCUUUGCUGUGUGCGGGGGCGGCCCCUCCCCCCCCUCCACCUUCGGGUUAUUUCUGAGCUUGGGCUGCCAGCCGCUGGCCCCGGGUUUCCACGUGCCCCCUCCCUCUCGCCGCCCACGCUCCCCGUGACGCACAUCCUCCGCCCACGCAGCCUCUGCUCAAGGCGCCCCCCUCUCCCCCGCCCGGGCCCCCUUGAGGCGGCGCUGAACCCUCGAAUCCGGAGGGAGACCGAGGCCCGGGGAAGGGACCGGAGCAGGGCGUGAAGCAAGAAGGCGGGAACCUGCUGGGCGUCAGGCGCCUGGGUACCCAUGUAGGAAAGAGAACGAGGGAGGAGCCGAUCUAGUGCCCUCUGCUCCUUGGUCCUGGGGCGGGUCUUCGGCCAGAGAAGGAAGAAGGGAGAAAAGCUCGCGGACUGUGUGUGAGAGUGAAAGUGUUUGCAUAUUUAUCAAGGUUGUCUUGAGGUUUAAAUAAGAAAACUAUUUUUAAAUUGUAAAAUACUAAGUAAACUUAAGAGGCUAUUACUGGUCUGUGCUUCUGGAUCCUGAGAUUGUAUAUUUAUGUUUCUUUACAUUUGCUUGUGUAUCUGUGUCUUUUUCUCUAGGUUUGUAUCUGAGAGUCCCUGUGUGUGGAUUUAAAAAUACAUAUAUUUUUAAAAUCGUUGACUUGUCAGGCCCCGCUGGAGGCCCAGAGCGCCCCCGCAGGGGGAGCUGCCGAGAUGUCUGUUCUUUUCCCUCCCACUCCAACCACCCCAACUCCCCUCCUACUCCCUUCCGUUGAGAACAAGGAAUUUCCAGCCUUGAGAAAAGAGACACAGAAACGAAGAGAGGCCAAGACCAUGGAAAACCAUCGAAAAACAUAAAGAUAAGAGACUUGUGGGGGGAGGAUGACAAAAGGGGGGGUUGGGACAAAUACAAAUUCAUUUUUUCUUUUUUGUCCCCAGAGUCACUUUUUCUCACUCCGUACCAGUUCCUUACCUGACUCACCUGCCUCCCUCUCCCCAGCUUUUCCCGGUGUUCCCAGACGCCCAUAGAGCAGAGCUACGUGUCCCAUUUAAUCAAGGAUGAAUCCCGUUAUCAUCCGCACUGGUUUCUUCCAUGAAGCUUUUCUGAGAAUAAGACGAAGGAAAACAAUAUCCUUAGUCCUGGUUUUCCAAGAAAAAAAAAAAGUUGGGAAGAAAUGGGGAAAUGUGGGUGGAAGAAGAGUGAGGAAACUGAAACCCAGAAAGAUUGUUUUUCGUCACCACGUGCGGAUUUCCAUCUAGCAGACUACCAUCCUCGCUGCUGUCCCCACGUUUUCACCAGGCUAAUUCCACUUCCAGGUUUCUAGCUUGGCUCAAAUGUCACUUUCCCGGACUUUCCCUUUCCUGGACCCUCUUAAGCAUCUAGGCAGAAUUCCUCCCAUCUCGGUGGCCUCCUGGAUGUUUGUACACAUUUGAAUUAACAGUUGCUUGUUUCACCCUGGGACCUCGAGAGGCAGGCCUGGGAUCUGGUGGGUCCCCUGAGAUGAAUGAAUUGGUGAUGGCCUUUACAGGCCUGAGGUGCUUUGAAAAGAGCAGUUGGUCGGCUUGUACUCCAAAAGGGGCUGAACUUUGGCAAAACUAAGUGGAAAGGUUUGUUUCCCACAUAUCUUCCCCUGUUGAAUUUUCCAGUGAGUCUCACAAGUUUGGCUCCUUGGCUUUCUAAAAUGUCCACUAUUCUGGUAAAUUAACCCCAGGUGCUAAAGGAGAAGGCUGAAACCCUUCCUAGUAAUAGAAAGAUGAAAAAUUAAUCUCCUUUUUUGUUCUUGAAGUAAUAUAUCAGAAUAAGUAGUCUAAGGAGUGAUCUUCAAUUUGGUCAUUUCACAAGAGAUUCUUCACUCCUCAAAGACAAUGCUAACCUUUGCGUUUAUGGAACUCAAGACUAGUAGUGGAAAUAGACAUAUCAACAGAUAAUUACAACAUAAUGCAAUCGGGGGGUACAGACAAUGGCUGAAGUAUAGAGACCAAGUGCUCCAUUUUGCUUGGGGUUGUGGAGGACUGGCUUUAAGACUUAUUAGAGUGGGUGCAAGAUUUUGAAGUAUGAAUAGGAGAUUUCCAGGAGGGACAGUUGUCAGAUCAGAAUGUGAGAAUGCACAGACGUGUGAAACGAUAUGUUUUUGAAACUAGAAAUUGUUAUUAUCGCUGGAGGGGAGGAGCUCUGGUGGUGCAAUGGUUAACUGCUGGGCUGCUAACCAAAGGUUGGUGGUUUGAGCCCACCUGGUGGCUCCUCUGGAGAAAGACCUAUAGAUCUGCUCCUGUAGAGAUUACCGCCUAGAGACCCAGCAGUUCUCUGUCAUAUGGGAGUGGCUAUGAGUUGAGAAUCGACUUGACCGUGCCUAACGACAAUAUUGCUGGAGAAGGAGUGAUUAGAAAUGAGUCUAGGAAGGUGUACAAGUUCGUUUCAUUAAGGAUGGUGUAAUCGGGCACUCAAAUUAUCGUGGCCAAAACAAUGGAUUCAAGCACACCAACAAUUGUAAAGAUGGCACAGAACCAGGCAACAUUUUGUUCUGUUGUACAUGAGGUUGUCAUGAGUUGAAGCUGACUCAGUGGCAAGUAACAGCAGACCAGUGCUUCUCAAACUAUGGCAAAGGGCCAGUUUUUUUUUUUUUUUUUAAUUUGCAAUCCAUUGUCUACUACUUUUAUAAAAUACUCUAAAAUGAAUUGUUAGAAAAAUGAAAGAAAUGUCUCACCUUUAUUAGCUUCAAUAAAUAUAAGAUUAUUCUGUGGGAGUUCGGUAAAGGUUUUAAAUGGUUACACUUAAUUUCUAAAGUUGUUCAAUUGCCGCAUGGCAACAAAGUUUGGAUGGCAUUGUUACUUGUUUCUUUACACCUGUGUUUCAGGUCAUAUUAAGGACCCUGGACUUCAUCUUGUGUAUAUAAUGUGCAGCCAUGAAGAGUUUCUAACAUGGGAGUGAUACGGUCAGGUCUGCAUUUGGGAGCAAUGUAAAGGAAAGAUUAUAUGGCUGCAAAACCAGCAGGGGGGCUAGCUUGGAGGGACUGAAGUGAUCCAAGGGAGAGGUGGCAAGGUGUUGGACUGAGUCACUGGCAGGGGGCAUGAAAAGGAAAGGACAGAUGCAAAAGAUACCAGAUGGUAAAAUCAGUAGGACUUGAUGAUUGAUAAAGAGUAGUCUGAGAGAAGGAGGAUUUAGGGAAACUUUCUAGGUUGGGUGACUGAGUAAAUGGAAUGGUGUGUUCCUUCUCAAAACUUUGGAAUUGUGCUCAUCAGCUAUUCACAGUCCACAGUCCUAAAUUUUAUCCACAGUUCCUAAAUUCAAAGAGUUAUGACAAAAAAAAAAAAAAAAAACUUCAGAUUUUUCCAAAUCGAAAGUUUUUUUUUCAUAACUCAUUAGGCAACAAAACCUAAUCUGACCUGAAUGUAUUUUGUGGUAGAACCUUACCUAAAUCUGUGUUAGGUUAUUUAUAGUUUUUGUUUAUCCCACUUAUUGCGAAUAUUCAUGCAUGUCACUGCAGAAAUAAUGUAUUUGAUUAUUGGGUGGCACAAAUGGUGUGCACUUGGCUGCUAACUGAAAGGCUGGCAGUUCACAGAAGAAAAACCUGGUGAUUCCGUAAAGAUUACAGCCAAAAAAACCCUAUGGAGCAGUUCUACUCUGUAACAGGUGGAUUGCCAUGAGUCAGAAUUGAUUUGACAACAAUGAGUUUUGUUAAUCCCAGACCCCACUGGGAUUGUUGCCUUAGUGUAUAUUGUUUUGUUUCAUUGUUUUCAGGUGCCAUUGAGUGUGUUCUGACUCAUAGUGACCCCACGUAUAACAGAACAACACAUUGUCCAGUCCUGUGCCAUCCUCACAAUAGUAGGAUCUCAUCCAUGAUGCCACAUUACAUUUAGUUUUCAAGUCUCCUUAAGCUCCUCUUGACUGUGACGGCCUCUCAGCCUUUCCUUGCUUUUGAGGACGACUUUGAAGGAUGCCCCUCUCUUGUAAUUUGUGUAGCGUUUUAUGAUUAGACUGGGGUUGUGAGUUUUGGGAAGAAAAACCACAGAGGUAGAGUGGCAUUUUCAUACAGUGUAUAAAGGAUACGUAGUAUUAAUAUGAUUUAUCACUGUUGGUAUUGACCUCUCCAGGUCAGCUGAGGGAUUGUGUGUGUGAGAUAUAGGAUGACCAUUGUAACAGGGGUGGCCUAGACUUUUCUUUCAGGGGGAUGAAAUUUCUUCUGUAGUCCAGCACUCCCCCCCCAACUUUGGCUAUUCAAAAAUCACAUUAUUUUGAAAGCUUGAACCUUCCCUAGCAGUUACCCCCUUCCUGAAUUCAGACUUCUAGACUCCUAAACUGUGAGAAAAUAAAUUUGUGUUUGUUGAAGCCAUCCACUUGGGUUAUUUCUGUUAUAGCAGCACUAUGUGACUAAGACAGUCACCCAGAGCUGGGUCUUCACAGAUUGACUGCCUGCAUAGUCCUUUUCUGUCCACCCUUCACCCAAAGCUGGCUCCUCAUGCGUUAGGACUCUGUCAUGACUGCCUGUGCAGCUUCCUUGUGAAUUAGCCAUCCCAAGUUAAGUCCAAGUCUCAUUGCCCCUUUGUGGGGUUGUUAGUUCUCUAUAACAGCUCACAAAAUUCACAGAGACGAUUAUCUACACUUGCAGUUAUCCAUUUUUUAUAACCAGGAAGGAUACAGGUGAGGAGAUGUGUCAGACAAGGUGUAGGAGAGUUCGUGGCAUGAGACUUCUGUUGUCCUCCGGGACAUGGCAUACUCUCUCUUGCAUGGGUGUUCUUGCCACUCCAGGAUCCCAAAGAGAGCUCCAAGGUCCAGGAUCUUUAAGUCAUUGGGACUUCAGUGUAUACGGAUGUCUCAAUGAAUGUGCAUGAUUGAUUCCCUCUCACCCACCUCCCUUUCUGAGGUUUGCUGCCAGGGUGAGGCUUGUGAAGCCCCUACUCAUUUGCACAUAUUUAAGUGUCUCCGAGAAGUCUUGGUGGUGGUGCAAUGGUUAAGAGCUCAGCUGCUAACUGAAAGAACGGUUAGUGGUUCAAACGCACCAGCUACUCCACAGGAAAAAAGACUCUGGCGAACUGCUUCGAUAAAGAUUAAAGCCUAGAAAACUCUAUGGGGCAGUCCUAUUCUGUCCUAUAGGGUCGCUAUGAGUUGGAAUCAAUUCAACAGCGCAUAAGAACAAGAAGUGUUGCCUGGCUAUAUUUUAAUUUUUAUUUUUGUGCUGUAGGUGAAGGUUUACAGUUCGUUAGUUUCUCAUACAAAAGUUUAUACACACAUUGUUAUGUGACCCUAGUUGCUCUCCGUAUAAUGUAACAACACGCUUUUCUUUUUCACUCCUUAUUUCCCGUUUCCAUUCAACCAGCUCUUGUCCUUUUCUGCCUUCUUAUCUUGCCUCUGGACAGGAGCUGCCCAUUUAAUCUUAUGAAUCUACUUGAGCUAAGAAGCACACUCCUCCCAAGUAUCAUUUAAUGUCUUCUGGUACAGUCUAAUCUUUGAAGAGUUGGCUUCAGGAAUGGUUUUAGUUUUGGGCUAACAGAGAGUCCGGAGCCAUGUCCUCUGGGGUCCCCCCAGUCUCAGACCAUUAAGUCUGGUCCUUUUACUAGAAUUUGAGUUCUGCAUUCCACUUUUCUCCUGCUCCCUCUGCUCUCCUGCUCCCUCGGGUUCUCUGUUGUGUUCCCUGUCAGGGUGGUCAUUGGCAGUAGUUGGGUACCAUCUAGUUCUUCUGGUCUCAGGCUGAUGGAGUCUCUGGUUUAUGGGGCCCUUGCUGUCUCUUGGGCUAAUAUUUUCCUUGUGUCUUUGGUGUUCUUCAUUCUCCUUUGCUCCAGGUGGGCUGUGACCAAUUGAGGCAUCUUAGAUGGCUGCUUGCUAGCUUUUAAGACCCCAGAUGCCACUCACCAAAGUGGGAUGCAGAACAUUUCCUUAAUAAACUUUGACCUGGUUAUUUUAGAAAACUAAAGUCAACUUGAUUGUUCCAGAAUUCCAAGGGCUAUUUUCCAGAAACCAGAGAGAAGGCCAAACCAAGUUCUCUGUCCCACACACUACCCAACACCAGAUCCUCUAAAUAAAGGUGCUAAAAGCUUUUAACAGUUUCUGUCAAUGUUUGUUAUUGUUAGGUACCAUCGAGGAAGGAUUCAUAGUGACCCUAUGUACAACUGAAUGAAACAUUGCCUCGUCCCGCACUAUCCUCCCAAUUGUUGCCAUGUUUGAGCCCAUUUAUUGAACAAUUUUUUUUUUAUUAUGUGCUGUGUGUUCCGAUAGGCCCUCACGAGAAGCAGUCUAAUGCAUAGAAUAAACUCAACUUUUGGGGUCUGUAAGACUUGGUUCGGAACCAGGGCUUUGAACUGGCUCAUUUUCGUUCGAACCCCUGCUGAGAAUUUGCAUUUCUAACAAGUUUGCUGGUGAUGCUAAUGAUGCUGGUUAGUCACCAAUUCUGAGAACCAGUGGUAGACCCCAAAACACGUUGCCAUUGGGUCGAUUCCAACUCAUGGCAACCCUGUAGGACAGAAUAGAACUGCCCCAUAGGGUUUUCAGAGAACAGCUGGUGGAUUCAGACUGCCAGCCUUUUAAUUAGCAACCAAAUGCUUAACCACUGUGCCACCAAGGUUCCACUAGUAGAGCAGUGGUUCUCAAAAUGUAUUAAGAAUCACCUGGGGAUCUUGUUAAAAUGUAGAUUAUGAUUCAGUACGUCUGGGGUGGAAAGGCAAAUUCUCAGCGAGGGCCCAAACCAAAAUGAACCAGUUUGAAGCCCUGGUUGGAACCACUGCCCAGCCCAAUUAAAUAUGAGGCCUCAGUUUAGGGUCCUUAGUCUGUCUUAGCCUUCAUGUUUUUUUAAAUGGAGAUGAUUUUACUUGUCUCACAAGAUGUGAGGAAUAAAAAAACCUCCUCUUAAUCCUCACAUUCAUUUUGCUUCCGAAACAAAAAAUUCCCCUUGACUGCAUUUUUUAUGUGAAGCUUGUAACAUCUUAUUUUUUUUAAAUGAUAGCUUCAGAACAGAUCUAAGUGUAACUUUUCUAAAAUACACCAAAAAGUACAGUGUAAAACACCUCCUCAUUAAAUACAAACUUUCAUUUUGUGAUCCACUGUAUCAGUGUUUUGCAUACACCUGGUGCAAAGGGAUUUUUAAGUUGCAUCCUAUUUAAAAACAAAACAAACUGAACUGAAAAAGAAUUGAAAAAGGUUGACUACAAACACAUUAACUCCUAAAAUUCCAACAAAGAAUUUUCUUUCUUCAACAAAGCAUAUUCUUUUGUGUAUAUACAAAAUAUUAGCAUUUAAGUGUUUAAUUUCAUUACAGGCAACAUUUUAUAUUUUAAAAAAUUACAGAUGCACAAAGCAAAAGUCUAAUAUGCUGAAGACAGUUUGAUGCACUUAAUAUUUGGGGCAAUUUUUAGGGUUUUCAAAAAUAGCAUUAAUAUUACCUCAGAACCUAUUAUACAGCCAUAGUAGUCAGAACAGCCUGGUACUGGUACAAUGACAGACACAUUGACCAAUGGAGCAGAAUUGAGAACCCAGAUGUAAAUCCAUCUACUUAAAGCCACUUGAUCUUUGACAAAGGGCCAAAGUCCAUUAAAUGGGGAAAAGACAGUAUUUUUAACAAAUGGUGCUGGCAAAACUGCAUGUCCAUCUAUAAAAAAAAUGAAACAGGACCCAUACCUGAUACCGUACACAAAAACUAAUUCAAAAUGGAUCAAAGACCUAAAUAUAAAACCAAAAACUAUAAAGAUCAUGGAAGAAAAAUAGAAUCAACGCUUGAGGGGCCUAAUACAUGGUAUAAAUAGGAUAUAAGCCGUAACUAACAAUACACGAACACUAGAAGAUAAGCUAGAUAACUGGGAUUUUCUAAAAAUUAAACACUAUGCUCAUCAAAAGACUUCACCAAAAGAAUAAAAAGAGAACCUACAGACUGGGAAAAAAUUUUUGCCUGUGACAAAUACAACAAAGGUCUAAUCUCUAAAAUCUACAGGAAAAUCCAACACCUCUACAACAAAAAGACAAAUAAUCCAAUUAAAAAACGGGCAAAGAGUAUGAACAGACACUUCACCAAAGAUGACAUUCAGGUGGCUAACAGACACAUGAGGAAAUGCUCUCGAACUACAAUGAAAUACCAUCUCACCCUGAAAUGACUGGCACUGGUUAAAAACAAAACAAAACAAAACAGAAAAUAACAAAUGUUGGAAAGAUAGCGGGAAAAUUGGAACUCUUAUGCAGUGCUGGUAGGAAUGCAAAAUGGUACAACCAUCCUGGAAAACAAUAUGGUGCUUCUUUAAAAAGUUAGAAGUAGAAAUACCAUACUACCCAUCAAUCCCACUCCUAGGAGUAUAUCCUAGAGAAAUGAGUCAUCACACGAAUAGACAUAUGCACACCCGUGUUCACUGCAGCAUUAUUCACAAUAGCAAAAAGAUGGAAACAACCUAGAUGCCCAUCAACAGAAGAAUGGGUAAACUAUGGUACACACACACAAUGGAAUACUAUGCAGUAAUAAAAAACAAUGAUGAAUCUGGAGGGCAUUAUGCUGAGUGAGAUAAAUCAAUCACAAAAAGACAAAUACUAUAUGAGACCAGUAUUAUAAAAACACAUGGAAACAUUUCCACACAGAAGGGAAAAAUCUUUGAUGGUUAUGAGGGAAGGGAGGGAAGGGAAGUGAAAAACAAACGAUGGUAAAUAAGCGGUAACUUUGGUGAAGGGUAAGACAGUACACAACACUGGGGAAGUCAGCACAACUUGGCCAGGACAAAGUCACAGAAGCUUCACAGACAUGUCCAAGUGCCCUGAAAGGCCAAACGACUGGGCUGAGGGCUGGGAACCAUGGUCUCGGGGGACAUCUAGCUCGACUGGCAUAACAUAGUCUAUAAAGAAAAUGCUCUACAUCCGACUGUGGUGAGAGGCCAUCUAAGAUAGCAUCUACUGGUCCCAUCCUGGCAGGAGUGAAGGAGACCAAAGACACAAGGGAAAGAUCAGUCCAAAGGACUAAUAGGGCACAAGUAGUACAACCUCCACCAGACUGAGCCCAAAACAACUAGAUAGUGCCGGGUUACCACCACUGACUGUUCUGGCAGGGAUCACAAUAGAGGGUCCCAGACAGAGUGGGAGAAAAAUGUAGAACAAAAUUCAAAUUCACACACGCACACCCAUAAGACCAGGAUUGCUGGUCUGACAGGGAUUGCAGAAACCCCAAGAGCAUGGCCCCCAGGCACCCUUUUAACUCAGUACUGAAGUCAUUUCUGAGGUUCACCCUUCAGCCAAAGAUUAGACAGGUCUAUAGGGGCAACAACAACAGCAACAACAAAAACGGCAUUAAUAAUAGCUCUGUACAUGUACACCAAUGUUUAUUGCAGCAUUUCUUAGCCAAAAGGUGGAAACAACCUGAAUGCUUAUCAAUGGAUGAAUAGAUAAACGAAAUGUGGUACAUACAUAAAUGGAAUAUCACACAGCCAGUAAGAAAAAUGAAGUCCUGAUACAUGCUAUAACAUGGAUGGAGCUUGAAGACAUUAUACUGAGUGAAGUAAAUCAAUCACAAAAGGACAAAUAUUAUAUGACCUCAGUUAUAUAAAAAGACAAGAACAGACAAAUACAUAGAGACCAAAGUUUAUUAGUGUUUACCAUGGUGGGAGAGAAGGGGAAAAGGGGAGUUAUUGCUUAUGGAGCACUGAGUUUUGGUUUAUGGUGAUGGAAAAACUGCAUAGAUUAAGGGUAGGAUUGCACAGCAGAUUAAUGUUAUUGUGUCUAUAAAUUGUACAUCUAUAAAAAGUUGAAUUGGCAAAAGUUGUGUGAUAGAUACAUUUACAACAACAACAAAGAGUAGCUGCUGAGACUGCUUAUGUACAACCAAACACCUCAUGGGAUUUGGUUCCUUGCUUUGGAGGUUUAGGGUCUUGGUUUCAUGGGACAGCCCAGUUAAUUGGCCUAAUAUCAUGCUUAGUGCUUCUGUUCUCUCUCCUAGUUUGUUGCAUAGUGCCUGGUGUCUUAAAAGCUUGCAAGCUGCCAUCCAUGGUACAACAAUUGGUCUUUAUUUGCCUGGAUCAAUAGCAGAGGAAGGAGAGUCAGGAAUAGGAGGAAGAAAUGGAAUGUGUGGCUAAUUGCCUCCGUGAACAACUGCCUCCUUUGCCAUGAGACCAGAAGAACUGGAUGGUGCCUGGCUACCACUACUGAA
Molecule: long non-coding RNA, 11098 nt
Organism: Loxodonta africana (African savanna elephant)
Lineage: Eukaryota; Metazoa; Chordata; Mammalia; Proboscidea; Elephantidae
Exons: 2
Source: RefSeq, a predicted model, not a curated record